Molecule: long non-coding RNA, 2032 nt
Filed under: Rhinopithecus bieti (black snub-nosed monkey)
Lineage: Eukaryota; Metazoa; Chordata; Mammalia; Primates; Cercopithecidae
Description: lncRNA (ENSRBIG00000045963.1)
Source: RNAcentral
UCCAAGUCUCAGCUUCCUGAGCAGCUGGAUUUACAGGCGUGCGCCACCAGGCCCGGCUGAUUUUUGCAUUUUUAGUAGAGAAGGGAUUUCACCGUAUUGACCAAGCUGGUCUGGAACUCGACCUCAGGUGAUCCACUCGCCUAGGCCUUACAAAGUGUUGAAAUUACAGGCGUCAGCCACCGCGACCGGCGGUGAAAACGAAACGUAUGUCUUAUUUUGACUCUGCAUCAAGGAUAAAGACGGAAAACAAAACGCUGUUUCAUCGGGCAGCAGGUCCUAUGAUAACUUUUUAAAACCUCUUUGGUGGCCAUGGCGCAUUUUGAGAACGUGAUGAACGCUGUAGACCCUUUCCCUCCAAAGAAUGGACAGUAGUGCUGUUAAAGAACAGACUGAUCGACCGGACGCAAUGGCUCACGCCUGUAAUCCCAGCACUUUGGGAGGCCGAGGCUGGCGGUUCACGAGGUCAGGGGUUCGUAGACCAGCCUGGUCAACAUGGUGAAAUCCUGUCUCUACCAAACGUACAAAAAAAAAAAAAAAAAAAAAAAAAAAAAAAAAAACCAAAAAAACAGCCAGGUGUGGUGGCGCACGCCUGUAAUCCUAGCUACUCAGGAGGCUGAGGCAGGAGAAUUGCUUGAACCCGGGAGGCGGAGGUUGCAGUGAGCUGAGAUCGCGCCACCGCGCUCCAGCCUGGGCAACAGAGGGAGACUCCUCUUAGAAAAAAAAAAAAACAACAAGCAUAAAAAUAGACUGAUCAUCUGUAGUUUUCGCACUACUAAUCACGCCCUCCACUAUCUCGUUCGGCAGUCAGGGCCCGCGGGCGAGUCCGGAACACAGUUACCUGCCCCUGUUGCCCACCGGAAGGCAAAGGGAGAGGAACGCGCCGGACCGGAAACGGAAGAGAGCGCAGGGGAUGUUUUUGGCAUGGGGACCCACUGUUUCAGGUGCGCUGUUGGUUGACUUUGUGUCUCGGCGGUGCUUCCUACAGUCUCGGCGUUUCUACCUCUUCAUCCCCGUUCCUGCCACCCGUUGUCCUCUGGAAGCCCGGAGACAUCAGCGGCUGCAAUUUUGCUACUCGCUGCUCUGCAUGGAACGGUCAGAAAUGAGCCCCUGAGUCUUGAGUUGGUGGCAGCUGCAUCUGCUGCCCUCUUUUGACAAACAAGCCAGAGCUGCUCAGGCAGCUCCAUAGCAUGAAGAAGAGUGGGGCACAGAGAGAUGGAGAGAGACCUAAAAUUAGGUAAGUGAAUGAAACCAUUAGGUCAGUAAAUGUUUGUAUCUCAAAAUAGGCCAUUUUCAUGUGGCUAGUAAGUAAUACAUAUAAUAUAUACCACAUAAGGGAAUUUACAUAUAGAAUAUACCAUGUAAGUGGAAUUUUAGCAAUUCAAGUUUUUAAAAAACUUACAUCUUAAGUAAGAUUAUAGUUUUAAGAGACCAAUUGAAUAGUUACUUUCCUUUUAGGAAAUUACAGUUUCUUGUCCAUGAAAAAAGAAAUGAUAAAUUCAGUAACGUUAUUACAAAUAACAGAAUAAGAUAGCUUUUCUGAGAAAAGUACUUUUUUUUUUUCAGUUAAAUAGCCUGCUGUUUUUAUGCAUGGUAUGGCAAUCUUCAGGUCUGUGUUUCCUUCUCUUUUUCCUCUUAUUCUUAUGUUUAAGCUGACAUCUUUCCACUUACUCUCUUCAUCUCUCAUUAUUUUAUACUAUGUUAGACUCCUUGCUGCCUACAUUGUAGUAAGUGGUAGCACUGCUUCAUUUUGGAGAGUGAUCUAAAUCUGUUGUUCCCAAUGAACAUGUGUACCAGAUGUAUUUCAGGAAGUUAAAAGAAAUGGCCAUGUGUGGUGGCUCAUGCCCAUAAUCCCAGCACUUGGUGAGGCUGAGGUAAGAGGAGCACUUGAGGCCAGGAAUUUGAGACCAGUCUGGGCAACAAAACAAGACCGCAUCUUUACAAACCAUAAAAAAAAUUAGCUGGGCAUGGUGGCGUGUGCCUGUAGUUCUAGCUACUUUGGGGGCUGAGGCAGGAGGAUGGCUUAAGUCCAGAG